RNAcentral lists this ribosomal RNA (468 nucleotides) under uncultured bacterium. RNAcentral describes it as "partial 16S ribosomal RNA". It matches the Rfam family "Bacterial small subunit ribosomal RNA", at positions 28 to 507 of the family's 1533-position model. The record is from RNAcentral.
GACGAACGCUGGCGGCGUGCUUAACACAUGCAAGUCGAACGGAAAGGCCUUGCUUUUGUGGGGUGCUCGAGUGGCGAACGGGUGAGUAACACGUGAGUAACCUGCCCUUGACUUUGGGAUAACCUCAGGAAACUGGGGCUAAUACCGGAUAGGAGCUCCUGCUGCAUGGUGGGGGUUGGAAAGUUUCGGCGGUUGGGGAUGGACUCGCGGCUUAUCAGCUUGUUGGUGGGGUAGUGGCUUACCAAGGCUUUGACGGGUAGCCGGCCUGAGAGGGUGACCGGCCACAUUGGGACUGAGAUACGGCCCAGACUCCUACGGGAGGCAGCAGUGGGGAAUAUUGCACAAUGAGCGGAAGCCUGAUGCAGCAACGCCGCGUGCGGGAUGACGGCCUUCGGGUUGUAAACCGCUUUCGCCUGUGACGAAGCGUGAGUGGCGGUAAUGGGUAAAGAAGCACCGGCUAACUACGUG